GACGAACGCUGGCGGCGUGCCUAAUACAUGCAAGCCGAACGAGAGCGACCGGUGCUUGCACUGGUCAAUCUAGUGGCGAACGGGUGAGUAACACGUGGGUAACCUGCCCAUCAGAGGGGGAUAACAUUCGGAAACGGAUGCUAAAACCGCAUAGGUCCUUUAACCGCAUGGUUGAAGGAGGAAAAGAGGCGCAAGCUUCUGCUGAUGGAUGGACCCGCGGUGCAUUAGCUAGUUGGUGAGGUAACGGCUCACCAAGGCCGUGAUGCAUAGCCGACCUGAGAGGGUGAUCGGCCACAUUGGGACUGAGACACGGCCCAAACUCCUACGGGAGGCAGCAGUAGGGAAUCUUCCGCAAUGGACGCAAGUCUGACGGAGCAACGCCGCGUGAGUGAAGAAGGUUUUCGGACCGUAAAACUCUGUUGUUAGAGAAGAACAAGUGCUAGAGUAACUGUUAGCGCCUUGACGGUAUCUAACCAGAAAGCCACGGCUAACUACGUGCCAGCAGCCGCGGUAAUACGUAGGUGGCAAGCGUUGUCCGGAUUUAUUGGGCGUAAAGCGAGCGCAGGCGGUUCCUUAAGUCUGAUGUGAAAGCCCCCGGCUCAACCGGGGAGGGUCAUUGGAAACUGGGGAACUUGAGUGCAGAAGAGGAGAGUGGAAUUCCAUGUGUAGCGGUGAAAUGCGUAGAUAUAUGGAGGAACACCAGUGGCGAAGGCGACUCUCUGGUCUGUAACUGACGCUGAGGCUCGAAAGCGUGGGUAGCAAACAGG
This 767-nucleotide ribosomal RNA is filed under the name uncultured Granulicatella sp. RNAcentral's name for it is "bacterial SSU rRNA". It matches the Rfam family "Bacterial small subunit ribosomal RNA", at positions 28 to 776 of the family's 1533-position model. The record is from RNAcentral. Lineage: Bacteria; Bacillati; Bacillota; Bacilli; Lactobacillales; Carnobacteriaceae.